CCUGGCUCAGGAUGAACGCUGACAGAAUGCUUAACACAUGCAAGUCGAUGGGGAAGUGGUGCUUGCACCAUGGUAACCAUGGCGGACGGGUGAGUAACGCGUAAGGAACUUGCCCGCGGGACCGGGAUAACAGUAGGAAACUGCUGACAAGACCGGAUAAGGUCAUUAAGCCGCAUAGCUUAGUGAUGAAAGGAGACGCCUGCGGAGAGUCUUGCGUCCUAUUAGCUAGUUGGAGGGGUAACGGCCCACCAAGGCGAAGAUAGGUAGCCGGCCUGAGAGGGUGGACGGCCACAAGGGGACUGAGAUACGGCCCAGACUCCUACGG
Molecule: ribosomal RNA, 325 nt
Filed under: uncultured bacterium
Lineage: Bacteria
Description: bacterial SSU rRNA
Rfam family: Bacterial small subunit ribosomal RNA
Source: RNAcentral